Molecule: long non-coding RNA, 557 nt
Organism: Lates calcarifer (barramundi perch)
Lineage: Eukaryota; Metazoa; Chordata; Actinopteri; Centropomidae
Exons: 4
Source: RefSeq, a predicted model, not a curated record
GCAGGAGUGAAAACACAGCAGCUGCCCGGACGGCCUGGCACGGACUACACGGCGUGUUGUUGUUUUUGUUGCUGGACAGCAGUGAAGAAAAUGUUGGCCUUUACUCAGAAAAUAUGUUGGCAUCAGCUCGCGUUCGCCGUCUGCGACUGGUUAGCAAGAGCGCCGAGGGUAUGUUGAUUCUCCAACAAGGUCUGCUAUGCCCUGCUGUGAGUGGCCUGCCAGAAGGCCGCACCUCAUAAUAUGGCUGAAUCCGCCAAGACGUCCCAGAACCCAAAUCCUCCUUGGCUCACUCUGCUGCUGCAGCCCCUGCUGAGGAAAACCCCCUCAUUACCCGGCCUUCAUUUUCCAUCCCCCCACAAACCCUCUUUGUUCCAUGGCCCAUUUGGCUGUUAUAUCUCAACACUUAAAAGCAAUUAUUCCUAAAUAUGAAUGCUCCCUAACAGACGUCUCCAGACACUCAAAAUAUAUUUUUCUUCCUUCAUCUUCCUCUCUGCCUCAUGGGGAAAAACAAAAGGAGGAGAAAUCAAGGUGUCUGAUGUCUGCAGGCCAACACACAC